Molecule: ribosomal RNA, 364 nt
Filed under: uncultured Sphingobacteriales bacterium
Lineage: Bacteria; Pseudomonadati; Bacteroidota; Sphingobacteriia; Sphingobacteriales
Description: bacterial SSU rRNA
Rfam family: Bacterial small subunit ribosomal RNA
Source: RNAcentral
GGAGGUUAUCAAGGAGACAGGUGGUGCAUGGUUGUCGUCAGCUCGUGUCGUGAGAUGUUGGGUUAAGUCCCAUAACGAGCGCAACCCUUAUCGUUAGUUGCCAGCUGGUAAAGCAGGGGACUCUAGCGAAACUGCCACCGUAAGGUGAGAGGAAGGUGGGAUGACGUCAAAUCAGCACGGCCCUUAUGUCCAGGGCUACACACGUGUUACAAUGGCCGGCACAGAGGGCAGCUACCUGGUGACAGGAUGCUAAUCUCGAAAACCGGUCUCAGUUCGGAUCGAAGUCUGCAACUCGACUUCGUGAAGCUGGAUUCGCUAGUAAUCGCGCAUCAGCCAUGGCGCGGUGAAUACGUUCCCGGGCCUU